AAUCAUCAACCUCCCCGGUUUGCACUGGGUUCUUGGUUGGAGUUGGGGGUCUUUGCUGCCGAAAGGCGGCUCCCCUUGAAUGCGUCGGUUGGGUUCCUUAGGCUUUUGCGUCGAAAUGGGGCGUUGUAUCAUCCUCGCUCUCGCUAGACUGCGGCUUAGGUGUCGUUCCCUUCCUAGACUUAGCCUUUGGAGUGGCGGUCAAACACAAAUCGAAUU
This 216-nucleotide unclassified non-coding RNA is filed under the name uncultured Brevicellicium. Its description in RNAcentral is "sequence contains ITS2". Lineage: Eukaryota; Fungi; Basidiomycota; Agaricomycetes; Trechisporales; Hydnodontaceae. The record is from RNAcentral.